Molecule: ribosomal RNA, 253 nt
Filed under: uncultured bacterium
Lineage: Bacteria
Description: partial 16S ribosomal RNA
Rfam family: Bacterial small subunit ribosomal RNA
Source: RNAcentral
UACGUAGGGUGCGAGCGUUGUCCGGAAUUAUUGGGCGUAAAGGGCUCGUAGGCGGUUUGUCGCGUCGGGAGUGAAAACCAAGUGCUUAACACCUGGCUUGCUUUCGAUACGGGCAGACUAGAGGUAUGCAGGGGAGAACGGAAUUCCUGGUGUAGCGGUGAAAUGCGCAGAUAUCAGGAGGAACACCGGUGGCGAAGGCGGUUCUCUGGGCAUGACCUGACGCUGAGGAGCGAAAGUGUGGGGAGCGAACAGG